RNAcentral lists this ribosomal RNA (169 nucleotides) under uncultured bacterium. Its description in RNAcentral is "partial 16S ribosomal RNA". It matches the Rfam family "Bacterial small subunit ribosomal RNA", at positions 338 to 524 of the family's 1533-position model. The record is from RNAcentral.
CCUACGGGAGGCAGCAGUAGGGAAUAUUGGACAAUGGGCGAAAGCCUGAUCCAGCAAUGCCGUGUGAGUGAUGAAGGCCUUAGGGUUGUAAAGCUCUUUUACCCGAGAUGAUAAUGACAGUAUCGGGAGAAUAAGCCCCGGCUAACUCCGUGCCAGCAGCCGCGGUAAU